GUCCUUUAGAGAAGAAUUUAAGGUCUAACCUGCCCAUUGAUUAUUUUAACGGCCGCAGUAUUUUGACUGUGCAAAGGUAGCAUAAUCAUUAGUUUUUUAAUUGAAAGCUUGUAUGAAUGGUUGGACGAGGCAUAACCUGUCUUUAUUUUAUAAUUAGAAUUUAAUUUUUAAGUUAAAAAGCUUAGAUUUAUUUAAAAGACGAGAAGACCCUAUAGAUCUUUAUAAUUAUAAAAAUUUAAUUUUUAAGGAUUAUUAAUUUUUAUAUUUUUAUUAUUAUUUGAUUGGGGUAAUAGAAAGAUUUGAUAAAUUCUUUUUGUUUUAAACAUUGAUAAAUGAUUUUUAUGAUCCAUUAUUAUUGAUUAUAAGAUUAAGUUACCUUAGGGAUAACAGCGUAAUUUUUUUUGAGAGUUCUUAUCGAUAAAAAAGUUUGCGACCUCGAUGUUGGAUUAAAGUUAAUUUUGGGUGUAGAAGUUCAAAAUUUUUAGUCUGUUCGACUAUUAAAAUUUU
RNAcentral lists this ribosomal RNA (507 nucleotides) under Limbodessus compactus. RNAcentral describes it as "partial 16S ribosomal RNA". The stretch from base 383 to 507 matches the Rfam family "Bacterial large subunit ribosomal RNA", at positions 2473 to 2597 of the family's 2925-position model. The record is from RNAcentral. Lineage: Eukaryota; Metazoa; Arthropoda; Insecta; Coleoptera; Dytiscidae.